UACGAAGGGGGCUAGCGUUGCUCGGAAUCACUGGGCGUAAAGGGUGCGUAGGCGGGCCUUUAAGUCAGGGGUGAAAUCCUGGAGCUCAACUCCAGAACUGCCUUUGAUACUGAAGAUCUUGAGUCCGGGAGAGGUGAGUGGAACUGCGAGUGUAGAGGUGAAAUUCGUAGAUAUUCGCAAGAACACCAGUGGCGAAGGCGGCUCACUGGCCCGGUACUGACGCUGAGGCACGAAAGCGUGGGGAGCAAACAGG
Molecule: ribosomal RNA, 253 nt
Filed under: uncultured bacterium
Lineage: Bacteria
Description: partial 16S ribosomal RNA
Rfam family: Bacterial small subunit ribosomal RNA
Source: RNAcentral